GGCGCCGCCCCAGUACUUGUUACUUUCUAAGGAUGUGUGAGCAGGGCGACGGUUUUGUUUUCGUGGGUUACCUAGGACAAUCUUGCGGUCAACGUUACUGCAACUAAAUGCAGGAGCGGGUAAAACCCACCCCUGCCACCCUCCGCACGCGGGCCGCUUUCCCACCGAGCCUACAUUUCCCAGAGAGCCCUGCGGGCCCGGAGAGGGCGCGGGGGCGGGGUCUCAGAGGACCCGGAUUGAAACAAGAUGGCGGGCUCGCGGUGAAGCGCUGUCAAGGUAACCGCUGGUGUCUCCUCUGCUCGAAAGUACUUCAGAGGUGGACAGUUGUAGAAGGCUUGUCUGCAGAUGGAGCUUUAUAUUGUGUUUGUCAUAAAUCUACAUAUUCUUCUCUACCAGAUGACUAUAAUUGCAAAGUGGAGCUUGCUUUGACAUCUGAUGGCAGGACAAUAGUAUGCUACCAUCCUUCUGUGGACAUUCCAUAUGAACACACAAAACCUAUUCCUCUACCAGAUCCUGUGUGUAAUAAUGAAGAAACACAUGAUCAAGUGCUGAAAACCAGAUUAGCAGAAAAAAGUGAACGCCUUGAACAAGGACCCAUGAUAGAACAACUUAGCAAAAUGUUCUUUACUACUAAGCACCGUUGGUAUCCUCGUGGACAAACCGUCCUGGGUUGAUGGUGGUCCAAGGAAAAUGAGAGAAAUAUGGAGUGGACUGAUCUGAAUCUGUAGCCCAAAGAAGAGCUGCCCCAGCUGACCCUUAGACCUGUGAUGACAGCAAAGAAACACUUUGGGGAGACAGAACAUACUUUCAAAGUGUCAUCAAUAGCGCUGUGCACCUGUUCUACAAAGCAAAAUCUCACAGCACCUGUCGGCAAGAGCAGAAGAGCCUAAAUUAAGAGUGUGGCCUCCGCAUGGACAGGAAACCUGGUUCCUUCUUUCACCAGCUGAGCAACUCUGGGCAAGUUAUUUAAACUCUCUGUGACUCGAUAAAAUGAGGGUGAUGUGGGGAUUUCUGAUGCCAAAACACAUGAAGAACUAAGCAACAUUGCUGGCAUAUGAUCCACAGCUAGCUCUACCACUCAGAACUGCUAUGCUUGGGCAAGUUACUCAACCUCUUGGAACCCCAGUUUUUCUCAUGUGUAAAAAUGGCACUGACUUCUUAGUACUGUGAUAAGGAUUAAUAAAUGAAUACAUGCAAAGUAUUAGGACAGUGAUGAUAAAUAUAAAUGUGAUCUGUUGGCAUUAUUCUUAUUAGGAUGGGGCCACCAUCACUUUGGAGGAUUCAUAACUAAGCCACCACCACCAUGGUGAUGCAUCUCAUAUGGUCACCAAGACCUUUUAGGUUGGGAAGAACCCCAGUUCCCAUACUGUGGGGGUCAUUCAGAACAAUAUCACCUAUCUUCUUAUCAGGAAAUGAAACCAUAGCGCUCUGCUGAGAUGCAUGUGUAAUAUCUGAAAAGAAAGCCAAGGGGCAAAGUGAGUUCUCAGAAACACACUGUGAGCUGCCUUAAAGGAAUGCAGAGAGCGCCUACCUGCUUCUCUGGUUUCUCCACUUUGUAAUUCUCUAUUUUCUUGUUGCUUUAUUGAUUUGGUGUUUUUAUGCUCUGUAACAUAGGGAGAACAUUAGGUUAAGGGACCUUGCCAUUUUCCUAGUCAGAGCAGUCCUUUCAACAAUACCAAGAAUUCGCACUUCGGUAGGUAAUGAAUGACAAGGAAUAUGACAGCCCAUUAGUAAACAAGCGAAUUAUUUGAUGGCAAUGGCUGAUUUAAUCAAAACAUUCUGGUUUCCCUCAUCUGAACCUGCGCAAGGAAUGGACCAAUCCAAUUGGAAAAAAAUAUUUGUUUUAUCUUUGCCACAUUUAUUUACUCUUAGGGACUGUUUAACUUGAUCUGGCAGAGAAGUCGGAAAGAACAAAAAUACUCAAGGCACUAAACUGCCUUCUAUGUCUCUGGCAACGGGCAGGAAUGUUAGGGGCUUGGGGGUAUUUCCACAGGGCCCCUUUCUGAAAGUCCUUUGCCCUCAUUUUCAUGGCUAGAGAAUUGACCUAUUCAUAUGCCAGGUUUGGGAGCCAGAGAGUGCAGAGUGCAAAUUAGGGGAAAUACAUCAGGAAUUGAACCCCCUGCUAGCUUUGAAUCCCCAAAGUAUGAAAUAUUCUACUAAAUUUACUGAAAAUUACAUGGGUAAGGCAUUGUGCUAGAUGUUACAGAAAGGCAAAGAUAAAUUAGAUGUGGAUUCAAUCUCAAGAAUCUUCCAGUGGAAUAGAGCACAUAAAAGGCACGCAAAUACCUGUGGGUAGUAGAAAGCUCCAGGUGUGUUGGAGGCUGGUACUCCUGGAGCAGAGCUGGCCAUGGGGCUUCUGUACAGGUACUUUCUUGAUGGAGGGCUCUCAGAAUUAAAGAUUUGAGUGCAGCUGAAUAAGGCAGGGGAGAAGCUGGGCAAAGAGGAGGCCACAGCCUAAGUGUGAGCUCAUUCUGUGCUCUGGAGGACAACUGGUGCCUGUAAUAUAAUAAAAAAUAUAUGUUUGGGCUCAACACCCAGAGUUCAGUGGUUAGAGUGCUGGCCAUAUGCACCGGGGCUGGCAGGUUGGAACCUAGCCCGGGCCUGCUAAACAACAAAAAAAUAGCCAGGCAUUGUGGCGGGUGCCUGUAGUCCCAGUUACUUGGGAGGCUGAGGCAAGAGAAUCACUUAAGCCCAAUAGUUUGAGGUUGCUGUGAGCUGUGAUGUCACAGCACUCUACUGAGGGUGAUAUAGUAAGACUCUGACUCAAAAAAAAAAAAAGUAUAUGUUUGAUCUUUG
RNA transcript from Nycticebus coucang (slow loris), 2796 nucleotides. It is a transcript of the gene named mitochondrial ribosomal protein L42, with no coding region annotated. The transcript has 6 exons. NCBI's taxonomy places the organism in Eukaryota, Metazoa, Chordata, Mammalia, Primates, Lorisidae. The record is from RefSeq and is a predicted model, not a curated record.